UGUCCAUAUCUUCGCUGGUCACUGCUGCUUCUGCCUUUAUCUGCACAAUAAUUUCAUGCUACAAGGCUGAAAGAUGUAAGAGCAAACUAUUUCUAGAGUUUGGUGUCAAAAAUUUAAAAAUAUCAUACGUUAACAAUGGAAGCAAUGUUAAACAAAUCUCCAGUUUCUUAAAUAUGGAUUAGAAAUCUUGGCAUUGGUCCUUCUUACUGCAGUGCUUGUGUAUUGGAUUGUAAUUGGAGAAGUUGCAACAAUCAUAGUGAUUGUGUUGGUGGUCCUGUGUCUGCUGCUAAUCCCAACUGUGUUAUUGACAUUGAUGGCUUGUGAUGUGAUAAGUUCCACGGAGACCUCGAAGAUCAAAACUUACGUUUUGAUGGUCGUGGGUGUGCUAUCUACGUCGGGUGAAAUUGCUGUGAUAUGUCUGUCUGCAUCCUUGAUUGCAGGGAUAACCUAUCCAGGUGACAAAGGAUGUGAACCAGCAGCCAACCUACAAUCAAACUUGACUGUUGCUUCUUGUGUGUCAAUUGCUUUCCUAUUGGCACUUCUUAUCUUUCACGCUAUACUUGUGAAUCGGAAUGAAAGGAGAUCUAGAAAUCGAUCUGAAAAUGCCAGUGCAAACAACAUCGAUAAACAUGAGCAAGUUGUGCUAAAUGAAGAAUCAUGUAAAUUCACUAGCACUGAUCUGGGUGAAGAGAUGCUUCAAACUGAGAGCACUGUUCUCAAAGAAGAAUAGCCUUAAGUAGUAAAACACCAUUCCCAGUGGCCAACUGCCUCCUGUCCAGAAGCACGGUUUGUGGAACUCUGCCUUUCAAUUCAGAGUUUCAACUUGUGCAGAUGACGUUUCCACUCACAAGGCAAAUGUUACUGAAAUCAUGCCUGGGGUCCCUCACUGUCAGUGGCUCUUCAGAAAGCAACAGGUGCCUUGGAAUUUGUAUCCAUUUCCCCUCAGUUCGACCUCAAUUCCUGCCCAGAAUUUUUCAAUAUCAAAAGAAAUAGGAACAGGAGGAGGCCAUUCAGCCCACUUUGCCCUUCAGUAAGACUGUGGCUGCUCUGGAUGUGAACUUAACUCUACUUUCUGGCUUGUCUCCCCAUACAGUUCCCCCACCGUAUAAUAACCCUUGCGAACUCAACUGUCUACCUCAACCCAGAUUGUGUUCUAUGACCUGGACUCCAGUCCUCUGGAAGAAAAUUCUGAAGUCUGAUGUUACUCUGAGGAGGAAAACAAUCUCCUUGUCUGUCUUAACGUGAAGCCCUCACUGUUUCAAACACACUCCCUAGCUCUAGAUUUCCCCAAAGAGGUUAACUUUAGUUUAGCAUCUAUCAUGGUAUCAUCCCUCAGUGUCAUAUGGGAAUAUGAUACAUUUUUUUUCCAUGAGAAUACGUAUCUUUUUUGAGACUCUAUUGGGUAAUGGCCUACAGUACUCAAUCUUUUAUUCAUAAGGUAACUGUUCCAAAUUAACUCUAACUUUCCAUUUCAGAAAGAAAAAUGUACACUAUGCUAGGCCGAGAUCCCCUACUCAGACCAUUGCUUCACAUUUCUCCACUUCCCAUCCACGGCCCUCCACAACACUUGCCCCUACUGCCUUUCCCUCCUUGCCUCCACCUUGCACCCCUUUCUCCCUUCAUCCCCUCUGCUCACUCCCCUUCAACCCCUCACCUCUCCCAGUCCCCUCCCUCCUCACCCUCCACAUUCCAUCUUAGCUCUCAUCUUCUCUGCCCCUCCCCCAGCCUCCAAAGACACCAUCCACCCUUCCCACCCCCUCCUUCCUCACCAUCUCCACCCCCUGCAUCCCCAGCCUACCCUCUUAGCUCUCCACCAUCCACCCCUCGCUCUCCUCCAUCCAUCAUCCCUUCUUUUUUCUUUUCUUACACCUCCCCUUAUAUCCUCCUCCUCAUCACCCCUCCCAUCCGCCUCUGCCCUCUCACAUGUACCCAUUGCCUCCUCAGCCCCCUCAACUCUGCCAGCCUCUCCUCCCACCCCCGAUCUCACCAGUCCCCAUCUUCUCCCCUCAGCUCCUUCACGCUCUCUUUGUCUUCUCCCCAUCACCCCAUCCACCUCACACCCCCCCCACCUCAUCCUUGCCCAACUCCCAACACAUCCUGAGGAAGCUCUGCCAUGACAGGGUUUUUGUUUCAAGUCUAUGGGUGUGAGGCUAAAAAGGCACAGCAGGUCAGAGUGCAUUCGAGGAUCAGGAAAGUCAACAUUUGGCGAAAACCCAUCGUCAGACCUGCUCCUCGGAUGCUAUCUGACCUGCUGUGCUUUUCCAGCCUCACACUUGUAGACUCUGCCUUCCAGGAUCUGCAGUCCUUAUUCUCGCCUCCUGUCUCUUUUGGUUCCUGAAGCUUUAUCUUCCUUUUGCCAGGGAAGCCUUAGUGCAAUUUAUAUAACUUUUUAAAAAAGAUUAAUAUGUAACACUUUACAACUUUUUGUGUAUGUCUGAAUUUUUAAAAUGGUGCUUUAUGUGAAUUAUUUGCUUUGCAUAUUUUUAUGGCUAACACCAGCAAGCCAAUACUUACUCGCCGCAUUUGAUUAUGCUGAGGUUUUCUUGUGUCAUCCAUUCAUUUCAUUUUAUUGUCAUUCAUUCCCUUGCUGUCGUUGGUCCUGCUGAAACUAACGUUGAACAUUCCUAGUUGCUCUUGUGAUGAUAAUAUUGAACGGAGUUCCUAAACCACUGAAGUCUGCCUUGGGAUGGUUCCUCCCACAGCCAUGUGAAAGUUAAAUAAAAUGUAGGAAAUCAGUUAGCUCUGCAAAAGGAGAGCAUUUCUGUCUGUGCUACCCUUUUUUAAUUGGACCAAAUGGAACAGAAAACAAAAUUGUAACAGUGUCCCACUUAUUAGGAUGUCAGGUACAUGAGCUGAAUAUUACUGUUAAGAUAAUGCACUGAUCUUGUUCAUCUGGCAAAAAUGAGCUAGUUAAAGGAGAGGACAGAAGCUUUUGAGAACGGACAGGGCAAUUAAAUUCUCCUACACUGUUGCAUUUUAACUUUUUUAUAUACAUUUUCUGUACAUGUAUUUUGACAUUGAGACUUUGGGAGAAUUUUAUAAGGGCUAUUUUAUCAUAAAUAUGGGUUUCCUAAACUCCGAAAGCCACUGAACUUUGAACUGUGACACAUUUGAAUCUGGAACCAAAUUGUCAGGUACAGCUAUAAAA
Molecule: long non-coding RNA, 3148 nt
Organism: Stegostoma tigrinum
Lineage: Eukaryota; Metazoa; Chordata; Chondrichthyes; Orectolobiformes; Stegostomatidae
Exons: 7
Source: RefSeq, a predicted model, not a curated record